GGUGGCAGCGCAAGUCGGGCGUGAAAUCCCACGGCUCAACCGUGGAAGUGCACUCGAAACUGCGCAGCUAGAGUCCUGGAGAGGAAGGUGGAAUGCUUGGUGUAGAGGUGAAAUUCGUAGAUAUCAAGAGGAACACCGGUGGCGAAGGCGGCUUUCUGGACAGUGACUGACGCUGAGACGCGAAAGCGUGGGGAGCAAACAGGAUUAGAUACCCCUGUAGUC
Molecule: ribosomal RNA, 222 nt
Filed under: uncultured bacterium
Lineage: Bacteria
Description: partial 16S ribosomal RNA
Rfam family: Bacterial small subunit ribosomal RNA
Source: RNAcentral